AUUGAACGCUGGCGGCAGGCCUAACACAUGCAAGUCGAACGAGUGGCGGACGGGUGAGUAAUGUCUGGGAAACUGCCCGAUGGAUGGGGAUAACUACUGGAAACGGUAGCUAAUACCGCAUACCAUCGGAUGUUCCCAGCUGGGAUUAGCUAGUAGGUGGGGUAACGGCUCACCUAGGCGACGAUCCCGAGCUGGUCUGAGAGGAUGACCGGCAACACUGGAACUGAGACACGGUCCAGACUCCUACGGGAGGCAGCAGUGGGGAAUAUUGCGCAAUGGGCGCAAGCCUGAUGCAGCCAUGCCGCGUGUAUGAAGAAGGCCUUCGGGUUGUAAAGUACUUUCAGCGGGGAGGCGUUACUCGCAGAAGAAGCACCGGCUAACUCCGUGCCAGCAGCCGCGGUAAUAC
This 406-nucleotide ribosomal RNA is filed under the name uncultured bacterium. RNAcentral describes it as "partial 16S ribosomal RNA". It matches the Rfam family "Bacterial small subunit ribosomal RNA", at positions 30 to 526 of the family's 1533-position model. The record is from RNAcentral.